Molecule: ribosomal RNA, 813 nt
Filed under: uncultured bacterium
Lineage: Bacteria
Description: bacterial SSU rRNA
Rfam family: Bacterial small subunit ribosomal RNA
Source: RNAcentral
CAGUCGACGGGAUCUUCGGAUUCUAGUGGCGGACGGGUGAGUAACGCGUAAGAAUCUAACUUCAGGACGGGGACAACAGUUGGAAACGACUGCUAAUACCCGAUAUGCCGCGAGGUGAAACCUAAUUGGCCUGAAGAAGAGCUUGCGUCUGAUUAGCUAGUUGGUGGGGUAAGAGCCUACCAAGGCGACGAUCAGUAGCUGGUCUGAGAGGAUGGGCAGCCACACUGGGACUGAGACACGGCCCAGACUCCUACGGGAGGCAGCAGUGGGGAAUUUUCCGCAAUGGGCGAAAGCCUGACGGAGCAACGCCGCGUGAGGGAGGAAGGUCUUUGGAUUGUAAACCUCUUUUCUCAAGGAAGAAGUUCUGACGGUACUUGAGGAAUCAGCCUCGGCUAACUCCGUGCCAGCAGCCGCGGUAAUACGGGGGAGGCAAGCGUUAUCCGGAAUUAUUGGGCGUAAAGCGUCCGCAGGUGGUCAGCCAAGUCUGCUGUCAAAUCAGGUUGCUUAACGACCUAAAGGCGGUGGAAACUGGCAGACUAGAGAGCAGUAGGGGUAGCAGGAAUUCCCAGUGUAGCGGUGAAAUGCGUAGAGAUUGGGAAGAACAUCGGUGGCGAAAGCGUGCUACUGGGCUGUAUCUGACACUCAGGGACGAAAGCUAGGGGAGCGAAAGGGAUUAGAUACCCCUGUAGUCCUAGCCGUAAACGAUGGAUACUAGGCGUGGCUUGUAUCGACCCGAGCCGUGCCGAAGCUAACGCGUUAAGUAUCCCGCCUGGGGAGUACGCACGCAAGUGUGAAACUCAAAGGAAUUGACGG